RNAcentral lists this long non-coding RNA (2916 nucleotides) under Salmo salar (Atlantic salmon). Its description in RNAcentral is "lncRNA (ENSSSAG00000100034.1)". Lineage: Eukaryota; Metazoa; Chordata; Actinopteri; Salmoniformes; Salmonidae. The record is from RNAcentral.
CCUGCUUUCCAUGUUGUCAACACAAUCCCCUGCUGUAUGAACCUGCUUUCCAUGUUGUCUACACAAUCCCCAGCUGUGUGGACCUCCUUUCAAUGUUAUCAACACAAUCCCUAGCUGUGUGGACCUGCUUUCCAUGUUGUCAACACAAUCCCCAGCUGUGUGGACCUGCUUUCCAUGUUGUCAACACAAUCCCCAGCUGUAUGGACCUGCUUUCCAUGUUGUCUACACAAUCCCCAGCUGUGUGGACCUGCUUUCCAUGUUGUCAACACAACCCCCAGCUGUGUGGACCUGCUUUCCAUGUUGUCAACACAAUCCCCAGCUGUAUGGACCUGCUUUCCAUGUUGUCAACACAAUCCCCAGCUGUAUGGACCUGCUUUCCAUGUUGUCCCCAAAACAUCGUUGGUACUUUUUCUGUCAUUUUGUUUGGUUGCUUUUAGCGUUGUUGCUUUCUGUCUGUCUGUGUUACUGGUUAUAUGUUGCUCUGUCUGUCUGUGUUACUGGUUAUAUGUUGCUCUGUCUGUCUGUGUGUUACUGGUUAUGUUGCUCUGUCUGUCUGUGUUACUGGUUAUAUGUUGCUCUGUCUGUCUGUGUGUUACUGGUUAUGUUGCUCUGUCUGUCUGUGUUACUGGUUAUAUGUUGCUCUGUCUGUCUGUGUUACUGGUUAUGUUGCUCUGUCUGUCUGUGUUACUGGUUAUAUGUUGCUCUGUCUGUCUGUGUUACUGGUUAUAUGUUGCUCUGUCUGUCUGUGUGAUACUGGUUAUAUGUUGCUCUGUCUGUCUGUGUUACUGGUGAUAUGUUGCUCUGUCUGUCUGUGUUACUGGUUAUAUGUUGCUCUGUCUGUCUGUGUUACUGGUUAUAUGUUGCUCUGUCUGUCUGUGUGUUACUGGUUAUAUGUUGCUCUGUCUGUCUGUGUGAUACUGGUUAUAUGUUGCAUUGUCUGUCUGUGUGAUACUGGUUAUAUGUUGCAUUGUCUGUCUGUGUUACUGGUUAUAUGUUGCUCUGUCUGUCUGUGUGAUACUGGUUAUAUGUUGCUCUGUCUGUCUGUGUGAUACUGGUUAUAUGUUGCUCUGUCUGUCUGUCUGUGUUACUGGUUAUAUGUUGCUCUGUCUGUCUGUGUUACUGGUUAUAUGUUGCUCUGUCUGUCUGUGUUACUGGUUAUAUGUUGCUCUGUCUGUCUGUGUGAUACUGGUUAUAUGUUGCUCUGUCUGUCUGUCUGUGUUACUGGUUAUAUGUUGCUCUGUCUGUCUGUGUGAUACUGGUUAUAUGUUGCUCUGUCUGUCUGUGUGUUACUGGUUAUAUGUUGCUCUGUCUGUCUGUGUUACUGGUUAUAUGUUGCUCUGUCUGUCUGUCCUUUACAGAAAUGUUGAUAAAUGUGCACUGUACCUUUAAAAAAAUAAACUUAAUUAAAGUAAUAAUAAUAAUGUCUGGAUAAUGUAUAGAAUAUCAAGGUUCAGAGUUUAUAACUGGAUAAUGUAUAGAAUAUCAAGGUUCAGAGUUUAUAACUGGAUAAUGUAUGGAAUAUCAAGGUUGAGUUUAUAACAGGAUAAUGUAUAGAAUAUCAAGGUCCAGAGUGUAUAACUGGGUAAUGUAUAGAAUAAAGGUUGAGUUUAUAACUGGAUAAUGUAUAUAAUAUCAAGGUUGAGUUUAUAACUGGAUAAUGUAUAGAAUAAAGGUUGAGUUUAUAACUGGGUAAUGUAUAGAAUAUCAAGGUUCAGAGUUUAUAACUGGGUAAUGUAUAGAAUAUCAAGGAUGCGUUUAUAACUGGGUAAUGUAUAGAAUAUCAAGGUUGAGUUUAUAACUGGAUAAUGUAUAGAAUAUCAAGGUUCAGAGUUUAUAACUGGAUAAUGCACAUGUUGAGGUCCAGUGUGAGGAUAACAUAGCAUCAUAUAGAGGACCAGUGUGUGUAUGACUGGAUAAUGUAGCUUCAUAUAGAGGACCAGUGUGUGUAUGACUGGAUAAUGUAGCUUCAUAUAGAGGACCAGUGUGUGUAUGACUGGAUAACAUAGCAUCAUAUAGAGGACCAGUGUGUGUAUGACUGGAUAAUGUAGCUUCAUAUAGAGGACCAGUGUGUGCAUGACUGGAUAAUGUAGCUUCAUAUAGAGGACCAGUGUGUGUAUGACUGGAUAAUGUAGCUUCAUAUAGAGGACCAGUGUGUGUAUGACUGGAUAAUGUAGCUUCAUAUAGAGGACCCGUGUGUGUAUGACUGGAUAAUGUAGCUUCAUAUAGAGGACCAGUGUGUGUAUGACUGGAUAAUGUAGCUUCAUAUAGAGGACCAGUGUGUGCAUGACUGGAUAAUGUAGCUUCAUAUAGAGGACCAGUGUGUGUAUGACUGGAUAAUGUAGCUUCAUAUAGAGGACCAGUGUGUGUAUGACUGGAUAACAUAGCAUCAUAUAGAGGACCAGUGUGUGUAUGACUGGAUAAUGUAGCUUCAUAUAGAGGACCAGUGUGUGUAUGACUGGAUAAUGUAGCUUCAUAUAGAGGACCAGUGUGUUUAUGACUGGAUAAUGUAGCUUCAUAUAGAGGACCCGUGUGUGUAUGACUGGAUAAUGUAGCUUCAUAUAGAGGACCAGUGUGUUUAUGACUGGAUAAUGUAGCUUCAUAUAGAGGACCAGUGUGUGUAUGACUGGAUAAUGUAGCUUCAUAUAGAGGACCAGUGUGUGUAUGACUGGAUAAUGUAGCUUCAUAUAGAGGACCAGUGUGUGUAUGACUGGAUAAUGUAGCUUCAUAUAGAGGACCAGUGUGUUUAUGACUGGAUAAUGUAGCUUCAUAUAGAGGACCCGUGUGUGUAUGACUGGAUAAUGUAGCUUCAUAUAGAGGACCAGUGUGUGUAUGACUGGAUAAUGUAGCUUCAUAUAGAGGACCCGUGUGUGUAUGACUGGAUAAUGUAGCUUCAUAUAGAGGACCAGUGUGUGUAUG